Panicum virgatum (switchgrass) is the source of this 1198-nucleotide long non-coding RNA. RefSeq lists it as uncharacterized. The transcript is spliced from 4 exons. The record is from RefSeq and is a predicted model, not a curated record. NCBI's taxonomy places the organism in Eukaryota, Viridiplantae, Streptophyta, Magnoliopsida, Poales, Poaceae.
CCUGUCAGACGACCUGCUUCCUCCGUCGUCGUUGGCCCAGUAGCCUUGCUGUGACGCCGCUCGAUCCGGCGUCCAGGCUCCCAGCCGUCAGCCGAUGUUCCUGGGGGAUUUGCCUAUUCGAGGCGGAUCAGAUUGCACUAACAAUCUAUGAGAGGUGAUGCUGGUAUGGCAGGAACAGUUGUAUUUGCUUCCCUGCAGUAUUCAGAGCUGCUCCCAUGACAAGCCUGGUGAUGCCGUGAAGGGAAAUAAGCUCUUCAAGCCCUUUAGCAACAUCCUCGUUUUCUAUUAUUAGUUUCUCGCAGCUGACCUAUAAAAGCAGAGACGAUUUAUCAGGCUUUCAGAGGAAUGAACCAUGGGGCACGAAUUCAGAAGAUGGCAAUGCCUUUUCGGACAUGUGAAAACAAGUUUAGUAGCUCAGCUAACAAAGAACGAGCAGGUAAGAAAGUCAAGGUAUGUUUACUCUCAGUGACUACAAUUUGCAUGACGAAACAAGAAAAUCCCUUUUAAGUUGUGCUGGUUGUAGCUGUGUACAGACUUUGCUUGGUCCUAACUGCUUUCCAUUGUCAACAAAACACAUCCAAUUUUUCGUGGAACCGCAAGUGGCGGCAGCAUUCAGGAUUUCAUGUUCAUGGAUACAGUAAUUGAAAUUCGUCAGGCAAUCGUCCAAACAACACGAGUAUCAAGGAAAGCUUACUCAUGGGGAUCAUCUGCGCGGGGCAGUGGACGUGGGCGAUCACGACCCCGGCGCCGUCCUUGGCCAGGCUCUCCAGCGCCCACAGCAGGGUGCUCUUCCCGUGCCUGACUUCCUCGGGCACGGCCACGAAAACCCUGCCCUCCACGGGCGGCGGGCUCGCCUCCUCCACCUCAUCGCCGGCGGUGAUGUCCGCGGCGCUGCUCACGGACGUCCUGAAGCUGUACUGCGACGACGACGACGUGUCCCACCGCCGGUGCGCCGCGCCCCCGGGGCUCUGCAUCCUUCCGGACCUAGCUCCGGCUGAAGCCGCUGUUGGCGAAGGAAUUCUGGAUAUGUAGCAUUGGGUGCCAUUUCCCGUACGAGCUCGGAUUGGCUUGAUGACCUCGGCCACGUCAACUCCGACGGAAUUAACAUUGCCAGGCACCUUCCCGUAGCGUCUCAAGAUACCGAGGACAUUUGAUUUGGCUCCAUGCCACCAUCCCUUAAAAAAAACUGAUGGUUGUC